GUGGUUCUGAAUGGAAGGGCCAUCGCUCAACGGAUAAAAGGUACUCCGGGGAUAACAGGCUGAUACCGCCCAAGAGUUCAUAUCGACGGCGGUGUUUGGCACCUCGAUGUCGGCUCAUCACAUCCUGGGGCUGAAGUAGGUCCCAAGGGUAUGGCUGUUCGCCAUUUAAAGUGGUACGCGAGCUGGGUUUAGAACGUCGUGAGACAGUUCGGUCCCUAUCUGCCGUGGGCGCUGGAGAAUUGAGGGGGGCUGCUCCUAGUACGAGAGGACCGGAGUGGACG
Molecule: ribosomal RNA, 281 nt
Filed under: Mycobacterium tuberculosis
Lineage: Bacteria; Bacillati; Actinomycetota; Actinomycetes; Mycobacteriales; Mycobacteriaceae
Description: partial 23S ribosomal RNA
Rfam family: Bacterial large subunit ribosomal RNA
Source: RNAcentral